GAGGGUAUAACUCAGUGGUAGUGUUUGCUUGGCAUGCACAAGGUCCUAGGUUUAAUCCCCAGUACCUCCA
Molecule: transfer RNA, 70 nt
Filed under: Camelus dromedarius (Arabian camel)
Lineage: Eukaryota; Metazoa; Chordata; Mammalia; Artiodactyla; Camelidae
Also listed under: 1 other name
Rfam family: tRNA
About the family: Transfer RNA (tRNA) molecules are approximately 80 nucleotides in length.
Source: Rfam by way of RNAcentral